Molecule: small RNA, 177 nt
Filed under: Arthrobacter sp.
Lineage: Bacteria; Bacillati; Actinomycetota; Actinomycetes; Micrococcales; Micrococcaceae
Description: c-di-AMP sequence
Rfam family: c-di-AMP riboswitch aptamer (ydaO/yuaA leader)
About the family: This family represents a conserved RNA structure found upstream of the ydaO and yuaA genes in Bacillus subtilis and related genes in other bacteria. The ydaO/yuaA element is thought to act as a genetic "off" switch for the ydaO and yuaA genes in its native state.
Source: RNAcentral
UCCGGGAUCCGAUCGAAACCAUCCGGCAGGGACGGGGAAACCACUUUUGGCCUGCAGGAUUCUUGUGCAGGUCUUCGGGGUGAAGCCGCACGCCGUCCUCUGAGCGGAUGGCAACUGCGGCCGGGUGUCUCCCAUCCGAAUCCGACAGCUAACCUCGCAGGCAUCGGGAGAGGUUAC